This is a long non-coding RNA of Fukomys damarensis (Damara mole-rat), 436 nucleotides long. RefSeq lists it as uncharacterized. Lineage: Eukaryota; Metazoa; Chordata; Mammalia; Rodentia; Bathyergidae. The transcript is spliced from 3 exons. The record is from RefSeq and is a predicted model, not a curated record.
GCACAGCAGGCAUAUGAAAUGCAGAGGAAUACUUCAGGACACAGGCGUGGAUGGAGAUAGGAGAACCUUGAGGACGAAAGUCACGCUAAGGAGAAGGGAAAUCUGAGAAACUCAGGCUGUGUCUAAGGGUGACCAAGUACAGAGCCAGGAACAGGCUGAGCCUUUCAGUCACCAUGGAAUCACUCCACCUCACUCAGAAGCCUCCUUAAAUUCAUAUUAGUCAACUCCAGCAUAUUUUGGCAUCUGAAAGAUUGGACAACAGUUUAAGGGCCUGAACAAGAUGGAUGCCUCCCAGCUUUGUGUGCAGCGAUGGCUUCAGGGUUGGAGGAGAGAAGCCACAUCCAUUCUGAUGAACGGAGACAGUGGAAGCCUUGAUAUGGAGGUGGGCAUCUGGUGUGAUGUCCAUCUCCCGGGAGCCAAAGUAACAUUAACAAUG